UUAAUCUAUUCCAUUUUCAUUUUCUUUUUAUUUCCAUUUUAUUUUCUGCCUUGAUUUUAAUUAUUUAAAAAUAUUUUCUUUAUUCAUAAAAAUACCAAAAAAUAUUUUCCAUAUUUAUUAAUGUUUUAUUUAAUUUUAUUUAAUUUUUAUUUUCAUAUUUAUUUAAUGUUAAUAUUUUAUUUUAAUUAUUUAUUUCAAGUGGAUCAUUUUAACACACAUUCAUUUCUUGAUUUUAUUUUCAUGACUUAGAAUUAUUUUUAGUUCUUGAUUUUUGGGAUGAAUGUUGACCACUGUCCCAUGGUCAACCUGACCUUUUCUUGAAUUUUUAUUUCACAAUUUUCUAUUUAUUUGAUAAUUAUUU
RNAcentral lists this long non-coding RNA (361 nucleotides) under Lathyrus oleraceus (garden pea). RNAcentral's name for it is "Pisum sativum (pea) long non-coding RNA (PSAT_LNC035802)". Lineage: Eukaryota; Viridiplantae; Streptophyta; Magnoliopsida; Fabales; Fabaceae. The record is from RNAcentral.